Molecule: ribosomal RNA, 672 nt
Filed under: uncultured archaeon
Lineage: Archaea
Description: bacterial SSU rRNA
Rfam family: Archaeal small subunit ribosomal RNA
Source: RNAcentral
CGUGGCCAACCUGCCCUUGGGACGGAAGCACCCCCGGGAAACUGGGGCUAAUUUCCGAUAGGGGAAGACUCCUGGAAUGGAUUUUCGCCUAAAAGGCGCUUAGAGCAUGCUUCUAGGUGUUGCCCAAGGAUGGGGCCGCGGCCGAUCAGGUUGUUGGUGAGGUAACGGCUCACCAAGCCUUUAACCGGUGCGGGCCGUGGGAGCGGGAGCCCGGAGAUGGGCACUGAGACAAGGGCCCAGGCCCUACGGGGCGCAGCAGUCGCGAAAACUUCGCAAUAAGCGAAAGCUUGACGGGGCUAUCCCGAGUGCCAUCCGCUGAGGAUGGCUUUUCCCUAGUAUAGAUAGCUGGGGGAAAAAGGAGAGGGCAAGUCUGGUGUCAGCCGCCGCGGUAAUACCAGCUCCCCGAGUGGUGGGGAUGAUUAUUGGGCCUAAAGCAUCCGUAGCCGGCUGGGCAAGUCCCCUGUUAAACCCAGCGAUCUAAUCGUUGGCCUGCGGGGGAUACUGCUUGGCUAGGGGGCGAGAGAGGCCGUCGGUAUUCCCGGGGUAGGGGUGAAAUCCUAUAAUCCCGGGAGGACCACCAGUGGCGAAGGCUGUCGGCUAGAACGCGCCCGACGGUGAGGGAUGAAAGCUGGGGGAGCGAACCGGAUUAGAUACCCGGGUAGUCCCAGCUGU